This 497-nucleotide ribosomal RNA is filed under the name uncultured bacterium. RNAcentral describes it as "partial 16S ribosomal RNA". It matches the Rfam family "Bacterial small subunit ribosomal RNA", at positions 28 to 507 of the family's 1533-position model. The record is from RNAcentral.
GAUGAACGCUGGCGGCGUGCCUAAUACAUGCAAGUCGAGCGAACAGACGAGGAGCUUGCUCCUCUGGCGUUAGCGGCGGACGGGUGAGUAACACGUGGAUAACCUACCUAUAAGACUGGGAUAACUUCGGGAAACCGGAGCUAAUACCGGAUAAUAUAUUGAACCGCAUGGUUCAAUAGUGAAAGACGGUUUUGCUGUCACUUAUAGAUGGAUCCGCGCCGCAUUAGCUAGUUGGUAAGGUAACGGCUUACCAAGGCAACGAUGCGUAGCCGACCUGAGAGGGUGAUCGGCCACACUGGAACUGAGACACGGUCCAGACUCCUACGGGAGGCAGCAGUAGGGAAUCUUCCGCAAUGGGCGAAAGCCUGACGGAGCAACGCCGCGUGAGUGAUGAAGGUCUUCGGAUCGUAAAACUCUGUUAUUAGGGAAGAACAAAUGUGUAAGUAACUAUGCACGUCUUGACGGUACCUAAUCAGAAAGCCAUGGCUAACUACGUG